Harpegnathos saltator (Jerdon's jumping ant) is the source of this 46-nucleotide non-coding RNA. NCBI's taxonomy places the organism in Eukaryota, Metazoa, Arthropoda, Insecta, Hymenoptera, Formicidae. The record is from Rfam.
UCACAGGUUUCUUUUGAAACCAGCUUAAUUCCAUUGAGAGAGUUCU